Molecule: long non-coding RNA, 385 nt
Organism: Hemicordylus capensis (graceful crag lizard)
Lineage: Eukaryota; Metazoa; Chordata; Lepidosauria; Squamata; Cordylidae
Exons: 3
Source: RefSeq, a predicted model, not a curated record
AAGAAGCUGGGACCAGACUGGGCCACCAGCCUCCCCCAACCAAGUCUCGGUGAUGCACAUCAGGUUGGCCCCUUCAUCCAUAAUCAAAUCACAGAUGACUUCAGAUUUAUUUUGAACUGACCUGGCAUUGCAAAGAAGCAAGAGCAUCAGACCUUCCCCGAGGAGAAAUCUAUGUAUGCCGAACCAGCAGCAACCCCUUCAGGACAACACAGUCAGAAUUCUCCCAGAAGCAAAAAGCACCAGACAACUCAAGCCAAAUAAUCCAGAAAGUUUGAUGGAAAGGUACUCCUCUCCUUGUUUUUUCCAUCUGCUCAAUACUUCAUUGUUUCAAGUAUUAGACUUCCUGUGCAAUUAAUGGGAGCCCUACUGUCACCACCUACAUGAG